RNAcentral lists this ribosomal RNA (106 nucleotides) under Ophion luteus. RNAcentral's name for it is "partial 5.8S ribosomal RNA". It matches the Rfam family "5.8S ribosomal RNA", at positions 50 to 154 of the family's 154-position model. Rfam says of the family: 5.8S ribosomal RNA (5.8S rRNA) is a component of the large subunit of the eukaryotic ribosome. It is transcribed by RNA polymerase I as part of the 45S precursor that also contains 18S and 28S rRNA. The record is from RNAcentral. Lineage: Eukaryota; Metazoa; Arthropoda; Insecta; Hymenoptera; Ichneumonidae.
UAAUUGCGNGUCAACUUGUGAACUGCAGGACACAUGAACAUCGACAUUUCGAACGCACAUUGCGGUCCACGGAUACAAUUCCCGGACCACGCCUGGCUGAGGGUCG